UCCUGGGUGUAAACGCUGCCCGCUUGAUGUUGGGCAAGCUUCGGGCUUGCCCAGUGUCGGAGCGAAGGCGUUAAGCGGGCUGCCUGGGGAGUACGGCCGCAAGGCUGAAACUUAAAGGAAUUGGCGGGGGAGCACUGCAACGGGUGGAGCGUGCGGUUUAAUUGGAUUCAACGCCGGGAAGCUCACCGGGGGAGACCCCCAGAUGUGGGCCAGGCUGAAGACCUUGCCCGACU
RNAcentral lists this ribosomal RNA (233 nucleotides) under uncultured bacterium. Its description in RNAcentral is "partial 16S ribosomal RNA". It matches the Rfam family "Archaeal small subunit ribosomal RNA", at positions 745 to 976 of the family's 1478-position model. The record is from RNAcentral.